RNAcentral lists this ribosomal RNA (465 nucleotides) under uncultured bacterium. RNAcentral's name for it is "partial 16S ribosomal RNA". It matches the Rfam family "Bacterial small subunit ribosomal RNA", at positions 28 to 507 of the family's 1533-position model. The record is from RNAcentral.
GACGAACGCUGGCGGCGUGCUUAACACAUGCAAGUCGAACGGAAAGGCCCUGCUUGCAGGGUACUCGAGUGGCGAACGGGUGAGUAACACGUGGGUGAUCUGCCCUGCACUUCGGGAUAAGCCUGGGAAACUGGGUCUAAUACCGGAUAGGAGCCAUUUUUAGUGUGAUGGUUGGAAAGUUUUUUCGGUGUAGGAUGAGCUCGCGGCCUAUCAGCUUGUUGGUGGGGUAAUGGCCUACCAAGGCGGCGACGGGUAGCCGGCCUGAGAGGGUGGACGGCCACAUUGGGACUGAGAUACGGCCCGGACUCCUACGGGAGGCAGCAGUGGGGAAUAUUGCACAAUGGGCGCAAGCCUGAUGCAGCGACGCCGCGUGGGGGAUGACGGCCUUCGGGUUGGAAACUCCUUUCGCUAGGGACGAAGCUUUUUGUGACGGUACCUAGAUAAGAAGCACCGGCUAACUACGUG